Perognathus longimembris pacificus (Pacific pocket mouse) is the source of this 2313-nucleotide long non-coding RNA. RefSeq lists it as uncharacterized. The transcript has 3 exons. The record is from RefSeq and is a predicted model, not a curated record. NCBI's taxonomy places the organism in Eukaryota, Metazoa, Chordata, Mammalia, Rodentia, Heteromyidae.
AAGCUAGGUAAGGGAUAGCACCUAAGCCCUGAGCUCAAGUCCCAGUACCAGCAGAGAAAAAAAAAAUGGAAGUAAGCCUUGUAAUAUUUGCUUUUGAGGCAGGGUCUUACUAUUGUAACCCAGGAUACCUUCCUACUCUCCCAUGUGUUGGUAUGCUGGUAGUACAACAUAUCCCAGCUGGAUUCUUUUUAAUAAAUAAAAGUAACUAGUUAUCUUAAAUGACAGGAUCUUACUGAAGAUCAUUGAAAGAAUGGGAACUUUUGGUCACUAAAUUAAAAUAAAAACAUAAAUAACUGUAGUUAUCCAAUUCAGCUUUCCAGCUAAUACAUGAACACUUUCCACAACACUUAAGAUGACUCUUCAGCCCCAAGUCGACUGUCUCCAGAGAGCAAGAGUAUUCUGCUGCCUUUUCUAACCUGGAGUACUUAACAGCAGAUGAGGUCUGCUUAUCUAAGGCUCUUCUCAUACACUGAACUAAGCUUCAAUUGGCUUCCCUGGUCCUAGCCCUUCCCCUGAGGAGCCACAGUGUAUGGUCUCCCCCUCCUUCCAUUGGCUAUACUUUAAGUUCUUAUACAUACACACUAGGUCUCCCCCACUAUUAAGGCUCCUGCUUUUUGGCCAAGAAUCGUUGGGUCUACUUCUCCAAUAAUAAGUAUAAGAGAUGAGAAGACCAGCUCACUGACUCACAUCCAAACUCAGAAAGUUAUCAAGCAGAGAAUCCCAAACCCUGAGCACUAUCAUAUAAACCAAUCCAAAUGAGGGACAGAAAUGCCCAGGAAUUUUUUUCAGCUUCAGUAGGCUUGUUGGUAGCAGGGCCAGGAAUAGAAUCCAAGCUUCUAGUCUCAAUAAGUGGGUUGCUUGUAUUAUUCCUCACCACAAGGCUACUUAACGCUGAAAUCUGUCUUAAGUGCUCACAGGCCUCAUGCCCAGCAAUAGAAAGGCGCUGACACUAUCAGAACCCCAUGGAUGGACUCCAUCCAUGCCUCUGUGCUGAGCUGCUUCUUGCUCAAUUUGGUGGUUGAUCUUCAUGUCUAGCUCCCCACAGAGUCAAACACAGAAGUAAUCCUUGUUCCCCAAAUGGUUUUGUGUGGUCAGAUACUAGAAUGGAGCUCCAGAUUCAGACCUGCCACAUGAUAAGGUCAGCAGGGAUAUUCAGAGAACGAGGCUGGCUCUCAGAUAUGGGUCAUCUCUCAGUUCUGGGCUCUGAAGCCCUUGAGUAAGUGUAGCUUAUAGGACAGACAGGGCCCAGCUUGGAUUCUACUUACAACAUGUGCAAUAUAAACAUAUGGCUACAUGGUUAUAAAGACAGGAGGAGAUGAGUGGUAAAAUACAGUGUUGUGAACAAGAAGGUGAAGCUGGAGUGGGCCAGCAUGGGAAGGCUCACAGGAGGAGGCAAACUUGAAAUAAUAUUUUAAAUGGACAGAAAAGUAGCUGAAUGAACAGGAAGGGGAUAGAGUGUUAUAAUGGAGGACUUGGCGUAUGAGGAGGUACUGAGGUAGCCUCAAAAAGUUCCUCAUAAGCACAUGGCAGAGAAAGCUUAAACACUCAGGCCCACACCCGCCCAUGAAACUGAUUGUACAGUAGAAUAUGAAACAACUGAUUAUACAAAGCAAAGUCAGCCAAACACCUUAUUUAUCCCAAUAGUUUCCUUUGAAAGUGACACUUUUUUCCUGUUACUUUCAUUUAGUCACACAUUCAUUUAUCCAACAAGUAAAAAUUACACCCCUACCGUGUACCCAACCCCUAAUCCAGAACUCUCUCUGCCUUUCCCCUUCCAUAAAAAGCAGGUGCAACCUGCCUAUCAGAGGAGGGUCAUGUAGAGGUAAGUUCUAGCAAAGUCCCUUAGUGAGCUUCUUUAAUUAAAGCCCCAGGAACCAGGAGAAAAUUAGCACAGUGGGAUCAAAUUCAAGCACCACUCAAUACUUUGGGGGUAUUUAUAGAAAAACAAACACAAAAACAAAAAGAAUCCAAUAUCCUGACUAGUGGCUUCUAGAAGGGUUGUUUAGUGCUCUGUUUUUCUGGUAUAAAUUGGUUCCUGUUCAUAUUUCUGAAAAAUACUGAGGCUGUCCCUUUUGACCUUGUGCAGACUACUCACACCAGGCUGGAAACCAAGGCCUGGGCAUUGCUGAACUUUUCUACCUCAGUCACAGAGAGUCUUCUUAACCUCCUUCUCAAGGAGAAAGACCAGGCAGGGAGAAGAUUCUGAACAUGAAGGGUUCAAUGUUAUUGACUAAAUGGGAGUUGGGGAAGAAAGAAAUUGUUCAAAUCUCCUUUUAAUUUUCUUUUACUUUAUUUUUUGGGGGGUGGUUGGGG